This 200-nucleotide ribosomal RNA is filed under the name uncultured prokaryote. RNAcentral's name for it is "partial 16S ribosomal RNA". It matches the Rfam family "Bacterial small subunit ribosomal RNA", at positions 1183 to 1382 of the family's 1533-position model. The record is from RNAcentral.
CGUCAAAUCAGCACGGCCCUUACGUCCGGGGCGACACACGUGUUACAAUGGGUGGUACAGAGGGUAGCUACACAGUGAUGUGAUGCCAAUCUCGAAAGCCAUUCUCAGUUCGGAUUGGAGUCUGCAACUCGACUCCAUGAAGUUGGAUUCGCUAGUAAUCGCGCAUCAGCCAUGGCGCGGUGAAUACGUUCCCGGGCCUU